This 777-nucleotide ribosomal RNA is filed under the name uncultured Neocallimastigales. RNAcentral describes it as "partial large subunit ribosomal RNA". It matches the Rfam family "Eukaryotic large subunit ribosomal RNA", at positions 23 to 647 of the family's 3401-position model. Lineage: Eukaryota; Fungi; Neocallimastigomycota; Neocallimastigomycetes; Neocallimastigales. The record is from RNAcentral.
AGAGAGAGACAUGCGCGCAUAUCAAUAAGCGGAGGAAAAGAAACUAACUAGGAUUCCCUCAGUAACGGCGAGUGAAGCGGGAAGAGCUCAAAUUUGAAAUCUUCAAGGUUCUACCUUGACGAAUUGUAGUUUAAAGAAGUGUUUUCUGUUGGAGUUUUGGUAAAAGUUCUUUGGAAUAGGACAUCAUAGAGGGUGAGAAUCCCGUAUUUGACCAUUAUUUCCAGCUUUGUGAUACACUUCCAAAGAGUCGGAUUGUUUGGGAAUGCAGUCCAAAAUGGGUGGUAAAUUUCAUCUAAAGCUAAAUACUUGGCGAGAGACCGAUAGCGAACAAGUACCGUGAGGGAAAGAUGAAAAGAACUUUGAAAAGAGAGUUAAACAGUACGUGAAAUUGUCAAAAGGGAAGCGUUUGACACCAGUGUUGUUUUCCUCGAAAAUCAAUUAAAAAAGGCAGGAUUUUGUGUUGUAUUGACUUUAUCAGCUUUCUGCACUCUUUUCUUGUCUUUUUUAAUGCACUUUUCGUUUAACAAGUCAACAUCAAUUUCUUUUGUUGUAAAAGGGUCAUUGGAAGGUGGCUUUCUUUUCGGAGAAAGUGUUUAUAGCCUUUGGCCUCUGCAAUCGGAGAGAUUGAGGUCUGCAGCGUAGAUCCUUCGGGGUUAGAUACAUUUGUGCUAAGUUAUAGCCUUUCAUAGACAACUUGUUGACUAUGAUCAGUCAUGUAGCUUACUCGCUUAUGCUAUUUUACCUACGCUUAGGAUGUUGAUGUGAUACUGCGAGCAA